CUGGGGUCCCGUUCCACACUGUGGUAGCUUUGUUCUUUUGCUCUUUGCAGUAAAUCUUAACUGCUGCUCACUCUGGGUCUACACUGCUUUUAUGAGCUGUAACACUUACCGCGAAGGUCUGCAGCUUCACUCCUGAAGCCAGCGAGACCACGAGUCCACCGGGAGGAAGAACAACUCCAGACGUGCCGCCUUAAGAGCUGUAACACUCACUGUGAAGGUCCGCAGCUUCACUCCUGAAGCCAGCGAGACCAUGAGUCCACCGUGAGGAAGAACAACUCCAGACGUGCUGCCUUAAGAGCUGUAACACUCACUGUGAAGGUCCGCAGCUUCACUCCUGAGCCAGCGAGACCACGAACCCACCAGAAGGAAGAAACUCCGAACACAUCCGAACAUCAGAAGGAACAAACUCCAGAUGCGCCACCUUAAGAGCUGUAACACUCACCGCGAGGGUCCGCGGCUUCAUUCUUGAAGUCAGUGAGACCAAGAACCCACCAAUUCCAGACUCACUAAGACAUUACUUUUAGCUCAGCAUUUCUUGGAUGCCCAGGCAAAAGUAUGGAUGCAUAAAAUUAGAUAAUCCCUACAGUCUUAUGGAAUGUGGCUUUUGCUGGCCAAGCCUCUCUCGCUUACCACAGUGCAACUUCAAGAAUUAAUAUAUUCAAAAAAGGCCUGGAAUUUCCAAACAACAUUCUUAUUAAGGGGGCAGUGGCAUCCUCAUGCAAGCUGGUCUACUGGUGGCUGCCCCUGUGACCUGCUUCUGAAUGGCCAGGCAGGAAAAGUCUCCCACUGUGUUGCAUUUAAAGAAAAGAAAAAGAUGAAUUAAGUAAAAAGCUCUGCAAACAACUGAGUGUAAUUAUUGGAUAUGUAUAAACUUAUGCAUAUUUUCCUUUUUUUAAUUAUACUUUAAGUUCUAGGGCACAUGUGCACAACGUGCAGGUUAGUUACAUAUGUAUACAUGUGCCAUGUUGGUGUGCUGCAC
RNAcentral lists this long non-coding RNA (979 nucleotides) under Homo sapiens (human). Its description in RNAcentral is "HSALNT0374829". The record is from RNAcentral. Lineage: Eukaryota; Metazoa; Chordata; Mammalia; Primates; Hominidae.